GAUGAACGCUGGCGGCGUGCCUAAUACAUGCAAGUCGAGCGAACAGACGAGGAGCUUGCUCCUUUGACGUUAGCGGCGGACGGGUGUGUAACACGUGGAUAACCUACCUAUAAGACUGGGAUAACUUCGGGAAACCGGAGCUAAUACCGGAUAAUAUAUUGAACCGCAUGGUUCAAUAGUGAAAGACGGCUUUGCUGUCUCUUAUAGAUGGAUCCGCGCCGCAUUAGCUAGUUGGUAAGGUAACGGCUUAUCAAGGCAACGAUGCGUAGCCGACCUGAGAGGGUGAUCGGCCACACUGGAACUGAGACACGGUCCAGACUCCUACGGGAGGCAGCAGUAGGGAAUCUUCCGCAAUGGGCGAAAGCCUGACGGAGCAACGCCGCGUGAGUGACGAAGGUCUUCGGAUCGUAAAACUCUGUUAUUAGGGAAGAACAAAUGUGUAAGUAACUAUGCACGUCUUGACGGUACCUAAUCAGAAAGCCACGGCUAACUACGUG
This 497-nucleotide ribosomal RNA is filed under the name uncultured bacterium. RNAcentral describes it as "partial 16S ribosomal RNA". It matches the Rfam family "Bacterial small subunit ribosomal RNA", at positions 28 to 507 of the family's 1533-position model. The record is from RNAcentral.